This 492-nucleotide ribosomal RNA is filed under the name uncultured bacterium. RNAcentral's name for it is "partial 16S ribosomal RNA". It matches the Rfam family "Bacterial small subunit ribosomal RNA", at positions 29 to 507 of the family's 1533-position model. The record is from RNAcentral.
AGUGAACGCUGGCGGUGGGCCUAACACAUGCAAGUCGAACGGCAGCACAGUAAGAGCUUGCUCUUACGGGUGGCGAGUGGCGGACGGGUGAGGAAUACAUCGGAAUCUACUUUUUCGUGGGGGAUAACGUAGGGAAACUUACGCUAAUACCGCAUACGACCUACGGGUGAAAGCAGGGGAUCUUCGGACCUUGCGCGAUUGAAUGAGCCGAUGUCGGAUUAGCUAGUUGGCGGGGUAAAGGCCCACCAAGGCGACGAUCCGUAGCUGGUCUGAGAGGAUGAUCGGCCACACUGGAACUGAGCAACGGUCCAGACUCCUACGGGAGGCGGCAGUGGGGAAUAUUGGACAAUGGGCGCAAGCCUGAUCCAGCCAUACCGCGUGGGUGAAGAAGGCCUUCGGGUUGUAAAGCCCUUUUGUUGGGAAAGAAAAGCAGCAGGUUAAUACCCCGCUGUUCUGACGGUACCCAAAGAAUAAGCACCGGCUAACUUCGUG